CUACGGGGUGCUGCAGUGAGGAAUAUUGCGCAAUGGGGGAAACCCUGACGCAGCGACGCCGCGUGGAUGAUGAAGGCCUUAGGGUCGUAAAAUCCUGUCAGGUGGGAAGAAGUGGAUAUAGAUUAAUACUCUAUUUCUUUGACGGUACCACCAAAGGAAGCACCGGCUAACUCCGUGCCAGCAGCCGCGGUGAAUACGGAGGGUGCAAACGUUGUUCGGAAUUACUGGGCGUAAAGCGCGCGUAGGCGGUUUGUUAAGUCAGGUGUGAAAGUCCAUGGCUCAACUAUGGGAGUGCAUUUGAAGCUGGCAGACGUGAGUACUGGAGGGGGUGAUGGAAUUCCCGGUGUAGAGGUGAGAUUCGUAGAUAUCGGGAGGAAUACCGGUGGCGAAGGCGAUCACCUGGCCAGAUACUGACGCUGAGGUGCGAAAGCGUGGGGAGCAAACAGGAUUAGAUACCCUAGUAGUC
RNAcentral lists this ribosomal RNA (466 nucleotides) under uncultured bacterium. Its description in RNAcentral is "partial 16S ribosomal RNA". It matches the Rfam family "Bacterial small subunit ribosomal RNA", at positions 339 to 795 of the family's 1533-position model. The record is from RNAcentral.